This 254-nucleotide ribosomal RNA is filed under the name uncultured bacterium. RNAcentral's name for it is "partial 16S ribosomal RNA". It matches the Rfam family "Bacterial small subunit ribosomal RNA", at positions 524 to 776 of the family's 1533-position model. The record is from RNAcentral.
UACGUAGGGUGCAAGCGUUGUCCGGAAUUAUUGGGCGUAAAGAGCUCGUAGGCGGUGUGUCACGUCGGCCGUGAAAACCUGCAGCUUAACUGUGGGCGUGCGGUCGAUACGGGCAUCACUGGAGUUCGGCAGGGGAGACUGGAAUUCCUGGUGUAGCGGUGAAAUGCGCAGAUAUCGAGAGGAACACCUGCGGCGAAGGCGGGUUGCUGGGCUGAUACUGACGCUGAUGCGCGAAAGCCAGGGGAGCGAACGGG